AGAGCUGAAUUUCACAGGAGCGUCUACGGGAAGCAGAUCAGUCCUCAUGAGAAAGCCUCUUAUUUUGCUGCUCCUGUACGUCGGAGCGAUGGGUUUCGGCAGCGUUUGUUCAGCAGUGCAGAAUCAAACCAGUGGAACGAGUGCUGGACUUACAGC
This is a long non-coding RNA of Onychostoma macrolepis, 156 nucleotides long. RefSeq lists it as uncharacterized. The transcript is spliced from 3 exons. The record is from RefSeq and is a predicted model, not a curated record. Lineage: Eukaryota; Metazoa; Chordata; Actinopteri; Cypriniformes; Cyprinidae.